RNAcentral lists this ribosomal RNA (307 nucleotides) under uncultured bacterium. RNAcentral describes it as "bacterial SSU rRNA". It matches the Rfam family "Bacterial small subunit ribosomal RNA", at positions 28 to 334 of the family's 1533-position model. The record is from RNAcentral.
GAUGAACGCUGGCGGCGUGCUUAACACAUGCAAGUCGAACGAGUAAAGCAUCUUCGGAUGUGUAUAGAGUGGCGAACGGGUGAGUAACACGUGACCAACCUGCCUCUCGCACCGGGAUACCUUGGCGAAAGCCAUGCUAAUACCGGAUACGAUCCUAAUAAGGCAUCUUGUUAGGAUGAAAGCUUUUGCGGCGAGAGAUGGGGUCGCGGCCCAUCAGGUAGUUGGCGGGGUAGCGGCCCACCAAGCUUACGACGGGUAGCCGGACUGAGAGGUCGAUCGGCCACAUUGGGACUGAGAUACGGCCCAG